Molecule: ribosomal RNA, 253 nt
Filed under: uncultured bacterium
Lineage: Bacteria
Also listed under: 1 other name
Description: partial 16S ribosomal RNA
Rfam family: Bacterial small subunit ribosomal RNA
Source: RNAcentral
UACGGAGGGAGCUAGCGUUGUUCGGAAUUACUGGGCGUAAAGCGCGCGUAGGCGGCUUUGCAAGUUAGAGGUGAAAGCCCGGAGCUCAACUCCGGAACUGCCUUUAAAACUGCAUAGCUUGAAUCCGGGAGAGGUGAGUGGAAUUCCGAGUGUAGAGGUGAAAUUCGUAGAUAUUCGGAAGAACACCAGUGGCGAAGGCGGCUCACUGGACCGGUAUUGACGCUGAGGUGCGAAAGCGUGGGGAGCAAACAGG